GUGAAACCCGUCUCUCCGUGUUACCUUGAGAAACUCUUUUUUCCGAGGCACACGUUAAAGAUUGUUCCGCGUUGUGAGUCUAACAUCGGUUGCAUAAACUUUUUACAACCGGUAGCGCUGGAUCCCUUGGCACGUCAUUCGAUGAAGACCGUUGCAAAUUGCGAUAAAGUGAUGUGAUGCGCAAGUCCACCACUUAUACGUGAAUCAUCGAGUUGUUGAACGCAUUGCACCGCGCCCUAAUCCGGCUGCGGUAUGCCCCUUUGAGCGUCAUUGUAUCCCUUCGGGAGUCCUUUUACAAGGACCCGAGYUCGGAGUCCUCGGUCCUCUYUGGAUCGUGUUCUCUCAGAUGCCUCGCGCCGAUCGCCUGAUGGGUCCUCUAAUGCCUAAGCGUGGAGUUCCUUCAGUCCRAGACGCGCUUGACCGGGUCUUGAGCCUGCGUCAUCAAGUCUGCCUAACCAGCGGUACUACAACGCAUGACCUCAUUGGGGUAGGACAACCCGCUAGAUCUUAAGCAUAU
This 517-nucleotide ribosomal RNA is filed under the name uncultured Tulasnella. RNAcentral describes it as "eukaryotic LSU rRNA". The stretch from base 107 to 270 matches the Rfam family "5.8S ribosomal RNA". Lineage: Eukaryota; Fungi; Basidiomycota; Agaricomycetes; Cantharellales; Tulasnellaceae. The record is from RNAcentral.